GAUGAACGCUGGCGGCGUGCCUAACACAUGCAAGUCGAGCGAGAACCGCUGGAAUGACACUUCGGUAGAAUGAAAGCGGGAAAGCGGCGGACGGGUGAGUAACGCGUAGGUAACCUGCCCCAUACACAGGGAUAGCCUAGGGAAACCUGGAUUAAUACCUGAUGAAGCAACUGGUCGCAUGACCGGCUGCCAAAGAUUUAUCGGUAUGGGAUGGACCUGCGUCUGAUUAGUGAGUUGGUGGGGUAAUGGCCUACCAAAGCGACGAUCAGUAGCCGACCUGAGAGGGUGAUCGGCCACAUUGGAACUGAGACACGGUCCAAACUCCUGCGGGAGGCAGCAGUGGGGGAUAUUGCACAAUGGGCGGAAGCCUGAUGCAGCAACGCCGCGUGAGCGAAGAAGGUCUUCGGAUCGUAAAGCUCUGUCCUGGGGGAAGAAACAAAUGACGGUACCCCGGGAGGAAGCCCCGGCUAACUACGUG
RNAcentral lists this ribosomal RNA (478 nucleotides) under uncultured bacterium. RNAcentral's name for it is "bacterial SSU rRNA". It matches the Rfam family "Bacterial small subunit ribosomal RNA", at positions 28 to 507 of the family's 1533-position model. The record is from RNAcentral.